RNAcentral lists this long non-coding RNA (1417 nucleotides) under Felis catus (domestic cat). RNAcentral describes it as "lncRNA (ENSFCAG00000052776.1)". The record is from RNAcentral. Lineage: Eukaryota; Metazoa; Chordata; Mammalia; Carnivora; Felidae.
CAAGAAGCCGCCAUAGGGCUAGGGUUUUGCAGACUUCUUACUAUUAUUUUUUAAUCAGAACUCCUUCAAGCUAGAAAGUACACCAUGGUACCUAAAUUUAUAAAACAGUUUGAAGAGAGGCCUCUUUAGUGAUCCCUGGGGCACUGUCUGAUUCUGUGGUGCUUUGAUAACUUUUCGAACCAGAACUUCUCUUUCCUCUCUAGGCUUCUCCUGAGCUCCCCAAGAGCUUCCUUCAACGUGGUAUCACCAAGAUGGUGAUGUUUAAAGGGGGUGGGACAAAUCCAAGAGUGUGUGCUUCUGCAGCCACAUGGCUCACAUUUCUUCCUCAGGGAUGGCACGCAGUGAAGGCCUUCCAAGUUGAGGCUGAGGAUCAUAGUGGCAGGGAGAGAGCUGAGGCUGUGAUUGGAGCUCACUCAAGUGGGACAUGCCUGUCUUCAGCCAGCUUUAGUGCAGACAUGACAAAGCAGGCAGACCCCAAAGCCUGGGCCAACAGUGAUGAUAACUCAAGUCUCUCUUAUAAAUAUCUAACAGGCAGAAAAUGCUUUCCCUUCAGGAGGGCACACAAAGACUAACACCAAGGAGAACUUAUUAUGGUACAGCCGCUUCUCUGGUUGGCAAGAGGUAGGGCUGUGACCUGGAGCUGAUUAUGUUUAUUUAAAUUUUAAAAAAUUUUAUUUUUAGAGAGAGGGAGUGUGGUAAAAGAAGAGAGAGACAGAGAGAGACAGAGAGAGAGACAGAGAGAGAGAAUCCCAAGCUCAGCACAGAGCCUGAUGCAGGACUCAAUUCUACAACCCUGGGAUCAUGACCUAAGCCAAAUUCAAGAGUUGGAUGCUCAACCCACUGAGCCACCCAAGCAUCCCUGAUUUUGCUUAUUUAAAAGGAAAGGCAAUUGUUUGGUCACUCAACAAACAUUUGGUGAGCACAUAGAGCUGCUGGGCUUCUGCUGGGCAUGGAAGAUAUUAAGUCAAACCUAACUCUGAAGGGGCCAGGAGGGGAGGUGGUAGAUGUAGGAAAAUCAUGAUCCAUACAUCCAUGCAUUGUCAGCAAUUGGUUUACACAAGCUGCUACAUGGUUAACCAGGUGAAGAAAAGAAGGACAAAAAGCCUUCAAAGCAAAAAGUAGAGCAUGUGUAAGAAGCCCAGUGCCAGGGAAGAAUGGACCAUCCUCCUGGGUGGAGGGGGCAGGAGAGGUGCUGGGGAGUGAAGGGCAGCAUGUGACCUGGUGAGCUGAGCAGGGUAAGAUCUGGUAGGGUGCUGUCUACUGAGCUAGGGAGUUUGGACUUUACCCUACAAGUGAGGAGGAGCCAUUACUGGGUUUUAAGGAAGGGAGAGUCAUGACCACCUCUGUACUCCUCUAUGAAAUGAUAUGAUGUCUAAGAUUUGUAUCCAAAUAAACUCGGGGCAAAAUAUAAAAAGCA